RNAcentral lists this transfer RNA (78 nucleotides) under Escherichia coli. Its description in RNAcentral is "tRNA-Val". It matches the Rfam family "tRNA". Rfam says of the family: Transfer RNA (tRNA) molecules are approximately 80 nucleotides in length. Their secondary structure includes four short double-helical elements and three loops (D, anti-codon, and T loops). Further hydrogen bonds mediate the characteristic L-shaped molecular structure. tRNAs have two regions of fundamental functional importance: the anti-codon, which is responsible for specific mRNA codon recognition, and the 3' end, to which the tRNAs corresponding amino acid is attached (by aminoacyl-tRNA synthetases). tRNAs cope with the degeneracy of the genetic code in two manners: having more than one tRNA (with a specific anti-codon) for a particular amino acid; and 'wobble' base-pairing, i.e. permitting non-standard base-pairing at the 3rd anti-codon position. The record is from RNAcentral. Lineage: Bacteria; Pseudomonadati; Pseudomonadota; Gammaproteobacteria; Enterobacterales; Enterobacteriaceae.
GGGUGAUUAGCUCAGCUGGGAGAGCACCUCCCUUACAAGGAGGGGGUCGGCGGUUCGAUCCGUCGUCAUCACCCACCA